CUCUAUUAUCAAUUGUAUCUCCUUUGGAAAAAGUUCAUUCAAAUUGUGAAGUGGUCUUCUGUGUACAGGUCUGUUUUGGUAAUUUUGCAGGAUUUCCAUGGGUGUGUGGUCUGCAAUUCCAAGAGUUUAGGUCAUUGUCAUGAUGGAAUGUGAAAUUCCUCAUCAUCUUUUUGACAGAGGAAAGGUUUUGUGAUAAAAUAUCUUGAGCUAUUCAUUAUCCUAUCUUGAUGAGAGCUCUCGACUCAGCUGAAGGGAAGCAGCCC
This is a non-coding RNA of Pelobates cultripes (western spadefoot toad), 263 nucleotides long. Lineage: Eukaryota; Metazoa; Chordata; Amphibia; Anura; Pelobatidae. The record is from the annotation of a GenBank genome assembly.